RNAcentral lists this long non-coding RNA (535 nucleotides) under Marmota monax (woodchuck). The record is from RNAcentral. Lineage: Eukaryota; Metazoa; Chordata; Mammalia; Rodentia; Sciuridae.
CAAAAAGUGUAUAUAUAAGGUGAGGUUUUGAUAUGGGGAUUCUUUGUGAGCAGAUUAGAUCAAGCUAAUUAACAGUCAUCACCUCUUUUUUACGUAGAGAACUUUUAAGAUCUCAGUUUUCAAGUAUACAUUAUUCUUAACCAUAGUCACCAUAUUAGACAAUAGAUGUACAGUAUUCACAGUAACAAGCAUUGCACCCUAUGAUCAUUGUCUUUCCCUUUCCAACCUCCCUUCACUCUCUUCCACCAAGAAGUGCUUUUGAAACUAAGGGCUUGCUAGGGCAGUGGUUAAGGGUAUUUGAUAAGUAAAUUGAUUACGAAAUGUUCUGGUGAAUGCCAAAUCUAUCUGGCAAUUUCAAGCCAACUCAAAAGAUGAGGUCUGUAAACUUUUCACCUCUUCCACUGAGUUAGAAAGGCUUUGGACCUGUAUCCCUUAUCCUAAAUAGACCGAUAUUUUCUGAAACAAGAACCUGUUUAUUUUAAGUCUGAACUUUUGAAAAUGUCCUCUUGUUUGUUCUGUUAUAUAGUUUUUUUUG